This 82-nucleotide transfer RNA is filed under the name Thermoprotei archaeon. RNAcentral's name for it is "tRNA-Phe". It matches the Rfam family "tRNA". From Rfam's summary of the family: Transfer RNA (tRNA) molecules are approximately 80 nucleotides in length. Their secondary structure includes four short double-helical elements and three loops (D, anti-codon, and T loops). The record is from RNAcentral. Lineage: Archaea; Thermoproteati; Thermoproteota; Thermoprotei.
CGGGGGUGCCCGAGCUAGGACAAAGGGGCCGGAUUAAAAAUCCGGUGGCGUAGGCCUGCGUGGGUUCGAAUCCCACCCCCCG